This is an RNA transcript of Carya illinoinensis, 7214 nucleotides long. It is a transcript of the gene named serine/threonine-protein kinase prpf4B-like, with no coding region annotated. The transcript is spliced from 18 exons. NCBI's taxonomy places the organism in Eukaryota, Viridiplantae, Streptophyta, Magnoliopsida, Fagales, Juglandaceae. The record is from RefSeq and is a predicted model, not a curated record.
CGAAUUAUUAACAUUUUCGUCACCAUUAUUCCCCUCCUUGAACAGCAAGCGGAAAGAGAAAACGACCAUAACCCUAGACUGACAAUGGCCAGCGAAUCCCAUGACUCGCGUCGGAAGCACCGGCGGUCGUCAUCGUCAGAAGAUGAUGCCGAGAGGUCCUCCAAGCGCCACAAGCACCAUCAUCACCACCGUCACCGCCACCGCAGCAAGAAACGCGACGCUGAGGAUAUCAUUGCCGCUCCUCCUCCACCAGUGGCUAUUAGGAAUUCUCGGGCUGAUGACGAUGUGGAGGAGGGCGAGAUUCUCGAAGAUGAGGGCUUCGAUUUCGGUGGUGGCGAGCACGAGAUUGCGGAAAGGAAACCUCAGUCGGACGAUGAGUCUAGGGAAAUCGUGGCCGUUGGUGUUACUGCUCCAUCUGAUCAGCAAAAUUCGGGAAGUGCUGAGCAUGGCUCGUAUGAUGCUGAAGCAAGGAUACACGAGGGAGAGAUUCUAGGGAAAAAAGGUAGGAGUCUGAAGACAUUGCGAGAGGAUAAGAGUAAGGAUGAUUUUUUGAGGAAUUCAAAUUUAGAUAAGGAAGACAGAGCUUAUAGCCAGAGUGGGGUUGAUACUGACAUUGAAAAUGAGGUUGCUUUUCCAAGGACUUUAAAUGUUGAGCCCCAAAAUGAAUUGGCUUAUAGAGUUACCUCAGAGGGUUAUGGCAAUGGGGAUUUGGGUUUCAAAGCAAUCAAAGACAAAAAAAUGUGGCAGAGUGAAUCUUGGCCCCCUUCUAAAGGAAGUGGCAAGGAAAAGACACAUUAUGAUGAUGAGAAGGUUGAGGUUUAUGGAAGUAAGUUAAGCAACCAGGGAAAGUCGUCCUCUCAAAGCACAGGGGACACUAGGAGUAGAUCUAGGUCAAUCGAUCAUGCUAGAGGGAGAUCACGUUCACGUAGCAUAAGAGAAGAGGAGGCCCAUUCAAAAAAGCAACAUUAUUAUGGUCGUGAUGCCUCAUUGUAUGCCGAUAGAAGCAAGUUUAUGUAUGACUCCGAUGAUGAAAGAAUAGUUCAACUGAGUAAGGAUGGACGGCAUUAUCGUAGAGAUGUGGAAAGGGAACACAUUACUGGUUCCAACAAGUAUAUUGGAGAGGAAAGGCUUCAAAGUCAGAGUACACGGGAGAGAGAGAGGAGCAAGGAUAGGGAGAUGGCUAGGGAGUUAAGGAAGGAAAAAGAAAGAAACAGGGGUGUUGAGAUGGACAAGGCUCAAAGAAGGGAGAAAGAACGAGAAAGGAGCAGGGAGAGGGACAGGAAAAGGGGGAUGGAACGAUAUAGAAGCAAGGAAAGGGAGGUGGCCAAGGAUAGACAGGAUAUGGAAAGAGAUAAGAUCAAGGACAAUCAGGUGGAUAGAGAUGGUGAAAGGGACAAGGAAAGAGGUAGGAGCAGAGCUAGUGAAAGAGAGAGAGAUAGGGACAGGGAAAGGGAAAGGGAGAAAGAUAGGGACAAAGUUUGGAGGGAGAGGGACAACGAGAGGGAGAAGUGGAAUGAUAGAAAUAGGAAUAGAGAUAGGGGCAUAAUGAUUGAUAGGGAAAAGUAUGAAUAUCUUGUGGAUGGAGAUAGACAUAAGAAUUCUAGAUACUCGAGAUAUGAUGGAAAAGAUUACCACCACGACAGAACACGAAAAACUGAUUCAGCAAAAGUUCCUAGUUCUAGGAGUGAGUUGUUGGAAGGAAAUAGAGAGAAACUCCAAAGGGAUGAUGAUGAACAGGGAGACUACGAAGAAGGGACUACAUUGCAGUUUGCCGAGCAGGAAGAGGAAGAUCUCAACAGAAUCAAGGAGGAGAGUAGAAGGCGAAGGCAAGCCAUAUUAGAAAAAUAUAAGAGUCAGCAAUUACAGCAACCAAAUCAGCCUCGAUCAGAAGAUACAGAGAAAGAUAAGGAGCCUGCACAUGAUUCUGAUCAAUCCAUAGCAGCUAAUGAUGUCAUUACUGACGCUGGUGAUGGUAGAAGUGAUGGUUUUGAUAUCUACGUUGCUGAACCAUCAUUUUCUGUGGGGAAAUCACCUCCACAAAAUGGACAUGCUGAUUUGGAGAAGACUUCCAGUGCUGGGGGGCUUGGGGAGGGUAGUCCAAAGAGUGAGAGGUCAGGUGACAAGUUUUGUGAUGAUAUUUUUGGUGAGACACCAACAGGAGUUCGCAGAUUGGACAAAGUAGAUGGAUUACGCUUUGAAAGGAGUGGUCUUAAUGACAACUGGGAUGAUGCAGAGGGUUAUUAUGGCUACCGGUUUGGUGAAAUACUCGAUGGACGAUAUGAAGUUACUGCUGCUCAUGGGAAAGGUGUAUUUUCUACCGUAGUUCGUGCAAAGAAUCUUAAAGCUGGUAAUGGUGAACCGGAGGAAGUGGCUAUAAAAAUUAUACGAAGUAAUGACACAAUGUACAAGGCCGGUAUGGAGGAGCUGGUCAUAUUAAAGAAACUAGUAGGUGCAGAUCCAGAUGACAAGCGCCACUGCGUUCGAUUUAUUUCGAGUUUCAAGUACCGCAAUCAUCUUUGUUUAGUUUUUGAAUCUCUUCAUAUGAAUCUGCGUGAGGUUUUAAAGAAGUUUGGACGGAAUAUUGGCCUCAAGUUAACUGCUGUGAGAGCAUAUGCAAAGCAACUUUUUAUUGCCCUGAAGCAUCUUAGAAAUUGUGGUGUUCUUCAUUGCGAUAUAAAGCCAGAUAACAUGCUGGUAAAUGAGGCAAAAAAUGUGCUGAAGCUCUGUGACUUUGGCAAUGCCAUGUUUGCUGGUAAAAAUGAAAUUACGCCAUACCUUGUAAGCCGCUUUUAUCGCGCCCCUGAAAUAAUUCUUGGCAUGCCUUAUGAUCAUCCAUUGGAUAUUUGGUCUGUGGGGUGCUGUUUGUACGAGAUUUAUACGGGAAAGGUUCUUUUUCCAGGUGCUACAAACAAUGACAUGUUACGCCUUCACAUGGAAUUAAAGGGCCCUUUCCCAAAGAAGAUGCUCCGCAAGGGGGCAUUUAUUGAUCAGCAUUUUGAUCAGGACCUGAGUUUUCAUGCUACAGAAGAGGACCCUGUCACGAAAAAGGCUAUAAAGCGGAUGAUUCUCAACAUAAAGCCAAAAGAUAUCUCUUCAAUCAUUACAGGCUCUCCUGGGGAGGAUCCAAAGAUGUUAGCCAAUUUUAAAGAUCUUCUAGAAAAAAUUUUUGUGUUAGAUCCUGACAAGAGGAUGACAGUGUCACAAGCAUUGUCCCAUCCAUUCAUCACGGUUCCUAAUUACUGGGCAUUAUCUGUCUUCUCUAUGAUGGCCCAAGAACUUUCAACACGGUUUUGCCGUUGAAGUCAAAAUGGGGUGAUGUUUGGUCUGGAGUUCUCUUUGCUGGCGGGUUCUUUCGUGGAUUGUACUGUUUCUAUCGAUGUCUGCCACUGCUUUGAAGCAACCCUUCAGUGCUUAGAUGCUUAAAAGGCACACAGGAGAAGGAGCUUGCACAGGAGGUCUACGGCCGCAGCCUUGAUGAAAAAAAUUUACUGGAUGUGACCCCCAUGCUCCUGCAAUUGUUGUAAGUAUAUUUCCAUUUUCUUGUUUAUGUCCACCUUGAUUCCAUCAUUGUUUCCUGAUGUUAUGUUCCUUGUGAUUUUCUAUUUUUUCAUGUAUGAUUUAUAUGGUUUCUCCUUCUUGAUAUUUGGCAUGCUCCAGUCUAAUUUUAUGUUGAUAUGUAACUUUAGCCCCUAAGGGUUGGCUCAAGUGGUAAAGGCCUUGGGCUUGAGGAUAUGCUCCCCUCAAGUCUAAAGUUCAAAUUCCCUUGGGUGCAAACAAUCACUAGAGGCCAUCGGACUGGGGGAUUUUCUUCUUGAAUUACCUGAGGUGCAUUUGCGGGAAGCUUCUUACCAAGGGCCUGUGCACUCCUGGGAUCAGUCGGGACACUGUUCCUGGACAAUUGGUUUUAAUUAAAAAAAGUUAUAUGGUUUUUCCUUCUAGAUAUCUGGCUAGCUCCAGUCUAAUUUUGUGUGAUAGAUUUUUUAGGCUUGUAAAAAAGCCGUGUAGUGUGAAAGUGAGGUGUGGUAAUUUACUCAUCAUGAGGCAAGGGAUGAGCCUUAAGCCUUUGUGAAGGUCCAUGAUCAUAUCCCAUCACAUGUAAGUUAUAGGCUUCGGUGCGAGGAAGACUAUAUGUGCUACACAGCUCGAUCAAUGCUCAAAAGAAGAGGCUGGUCUUUUGAAAAAUAUGAGGAGGGAUUGGAGAAAUUCUCCCAAUUCGCUAGAUAUGAGGCAGGUGAUGGGUUGAGGCUAAGAUUUUGGCAUGAUGUGUGGUUGAAAUCAUCCUCUGAAAGCUGCUUUUCCAGAAUUAUUCAGGAUUGCACAUUUUAAUGAUGCAUGCUUGGCGGAUCAGUUGUAGUUCUCUCAUGAGUUCCAUCAGUGGCAUGUUAAGUGUGUGAGAGGUCCUAGGUGCUGUAAGGUGUAUUCUUUGUGUACUUCCUGUGUACUGGGCUACCCUACCUUUCUAUCAAUAAAAUCUUAUUUUACCCAUAAAAAAAAAAUUGUGUGAGUGGCUAAAACUUGAGAGGCAGAUCUCUUUACCUCGUUCUUUAAUCGAUUAUAUACUAGUAGGUUGAGAAGGGGUGGUGAAAAGAGCUUUGCUACUUGUCAUCCCACAUGCUACACUUUUUUUUUUUUUUUUUCGGUUUUAUUCCUACUAAACCAAUUGAGUUCUUCUACUCAUCAUCCAUACAUUACACAUUUGGUAAGGGAAACAAAAUGAAAAAUUUAAAAAUCAUGUGUGGUGUGUGGUGUGGGGAUGGUGAGUAGAAUUUUUAUUCAAAUAAGUUAGUUUGGAGCCUUGCUAGGAAAUGGGUGAUUGGAAGUCGUUUUACAACAGCUCAUGUUCCCGUGAUAAUACUCCUUUCCCUCGGAAGAUUAUUUGGAGUAGCAUGGCUCUCCAGAGUAGCAAUUUUUGUUGUCCACACGGACACCAGCUAUAGGGAAGAUUCUUGUCAUGGAUAACUAAAGUAAAUGAUGUUAUAGUAUUUGAUUGAUACCACACUUGUAUAAUAAUUUGUGAAAUUGUUGGUCAAUUUCUUCUGUAUUGCAAGGUGGUUUGAUAUUAAUGGGAUUAAUUGGGUCAUGCUGAAUCGGGUGGUGGAUCUCUUGGCAUGUUUGAGAUGUAAGUUCGACAAACAUCGAUGUGUUUUGUUGUGUAAAAUGAUUGUAUCUUGUUGAAUGUGAUAUGCAUGGAGAGAAGAAUGGGCAAACUUUUAAACAAAAUGUAAUUGAAAUUCAUUAAAAACCAAUGGGUGUACCCAAGUAUACAAGAAAUAUACAAGAGACCACCUAAACUAAAGGGAAAAGAAAAAAUUCACCAAACUAAGCCGUGACCCACUAGGUCCUUAUCCCAUGGGCGUACAUUUGAAGAUUGUAAAAAGUCUCUGGUGGAUCUCAAGGCCUUCUUACUAAACACCCUUUACCAUUGGAUGUUAUCUGAAAAUUGUUUUACCUUUUCUAUUUCUAGUUUCCAGGGCCUUCAUCUCCUCUUUACUUCUGUGUAGGUGUAUAUUUUGUUUACUUGCUGUGUGUAUGGUGCACGACCUUUUGUUUUUCAAUUGAAUCUACCUUGUUAAUGAGAAUGAUUAAAACCAAAAGUUCACCUAUUUUUGCUUAUUGUAAGUGAAGUUUAACUUAUGGAUUCCUGUUUUCAUGUUAAACAAGGGCCUCAUUGAUUUAUUUUCAUGCGUUUUCAUGUGCAAGCUAUACAUGUCCUGUGAUAGUUUCCUUUUACUUGUUAGCCAGCGCAUAGUGCCUAAUCAUUUUGCUAUGGUUUGGUUGGAUUUACUUAGGCGUAACCUUAGGUGAUCGCUUUGGUCACAAAUAGUUUGCUAGGUUUCUGAUGGCCUUGCCAUUAGAUACUUUGUUCUCUUGGGAGGAGGAAGAGGAGAUGACGUUUUUGGCUUGGCCUUGUGAUGUACCUAAUGAGGGUGAGUCUGCGCGUGAAAUUUGAAAGGAUAUUUAUGUGCUUUAGGUUCCACCAUUUUUGGUUUGUAAAUGGGGCUGAUCUGCUGUACAAGGAUUGAGCACAUUUCGGGUGAAAAAGAAUCUUCUUGUCAUUAGAGAGAGAGGAGCUGUAACAACCCAAGGAAAGUCCAAACUGUGUCCGGGGCCUAUACUUCAAAAGGGUUAGUCAAGGUUGCAAUUGGAGCCUCUUAAAAUCAUAUAAAUGGCAAAAACUUCUCUCCUGGGCAAUACUGGAUCUCAUUCUCUACCCACUAUAUUCAACCCACAAUACUCCAAUCCUCUCUUUAAAUUCUUGACAUCCUCUUGUGGCCAUUCUAUUGUAAGUGGAGCAGCUCAAGUCCCACACUUUCAGUUUGGGAUUGCCUCCAAUACCAUGUAUAAUGACCUAUAAAAAUCCCAAGUCACCUGACAUUCUCUUCAAGCUGUACUCCAAAAGGAUUAGUUAAAGUUACAAUUGAAUCCCACUGAAAUCAGUAUAAAAGACAAUAACUUGUCUGUCUCAGGUAUAAUGUAGAAUCUCAUUCACAACUCUGCCAUCCUCAACCUGGAGUGUUUCUAGGGCUGAUGCUUAUUCAAUUUGACUGAAGUGCUUAAGCUGGAUUGGUUUUCCUUUUCUGGCUUCUACAAAUGACAAAAUUAAAAGAUAAUCAAAAUAAUUUGUCCCUUAAACGCCUAUAAAAUGGUAUCAUUGCAGAAGCCCCAAUUUUUUUAAUCAGAUUUGCACUGAAAUAAGCUUGAAUCUGACAAGGGGGCAUGCUAUUCAUUUUUUUAGGCAUUCGUGGUGAUUUACAAGGUUUACUUAGGCCCAUUUUCAGUGGUAGUAGUUCAUCCUUUUAGGAAAGGUUCAGACUACCUUAACUCACAUUUCAAAUUUUCAGGCUCUGAUUCCUAAUAUCUUCCAAAAAGGUGCUACAUUAGUUUGGAUGUAUAUGUGAGAGGACUAGUAAGCAUAAGCAUAAAACACAAUUAUCAUAAGGAUUAAAGCAAAUUAGGUCUGAGUUCUGACUCUGGCAUAUAGCUGCCUGGACAUAUUCAGAUUUGUUAGGCAAUGGUUUGAGCCCGAGGCCUUUAGGUGACCUUUUUUCCAUAAUCUAAAAUGAUUUAUUUGCUGUUUGUUAUAUGCGUGGUUUAAUUUUGUGUUUUUCUAUUCAUUCAUUAUGCUUUUAGAUCUAACCCCCAAAAUCUCAUUCUCAAGGAUUGUGAACUGUUCUGUGGAACCAUAAUUUGCUGAAAGUGUUUUUAACCUGAAA